GCUGUCUCAAUUUAAUUAAAAAUUUAAUUUAAUUUUUAAGUUAAAAAGCUUAAAUAUUUUUAAAGGACGAGAAGACCCUAUAGAGUUUUAUAUUAUUAUAUUAUAAAAGUAUUUAAUUAUUAUUUUAUUAUUUAAUAAUAUUUUAUUGGGGCGAUAAAAAAAUUUAUUAAACUUUUUUAUUAAAUAUUUUCAUUGAUUUAUGAAUUUUUGAUCCUUUUAUA
This 221-nucleotide ribosomal RNA is filed under the name Macrophya sp. YI-2013a. RNAcentral's name for it is "partial 16S ribosomal RNA". The record is from RNAcentral. Lineage: Eukaryota; Metazoa; Arthropoda; Insecta; Hymenoptera; Tenthredinidae.